GACGAACGCUGGCGGCGUGCUUAACACAUGCAAGUCGAACGGAAAGGCCCUGCUUUUGUGGGGUGCUCGAGUGGCGAACGGGUGAGUAACACGUGAGUAACCUGCCCUUGACUUUGGGAUAACUUCAGGAAACUGGGGCUAAUACCGGAUAGGAGCUCCUGCUGCAUGGUGGGGGUUGGAAAGUUUCGGCGGUUGGGGAUGGACUCGCGGCUUAUCAGCUUGUUGGUGGGGUAGUGGCUUACCAAGGCUUUGACGGGUAGCCGGCCUGAGAGGGUGACCGGCCACAUUGGGACUGAGAUACGGCCCAGACUCCUACGGGAGGCAGCAGUGGGGAAUAUUGCACAAUGGGCGGAAGCCUGAUGCAGCAACGCCGCGUGCGGGAUGACGGCCUUCGGGUUGUAAACCGCUUUCGCCUGUGACGAAGCGUGAGUGACGGUAAUGGGUAAAGAAGCACCGGCUAACUACGUGCCGGCAGCCGCGGUGAUACGUAGGGUGCGAGCGUUGUCCGGAUUUAUUGGGCGUAAAGGGCUCGUAGGUGGUUGAUCGCGUCGGAAGUGUAAUCUUGGGGCUUAACCCUGAGCGUGCUUUCGAUACGGGUUGACUUGAGGAAGGUAGGGGAGAAUGGAAUUCCUGGUGGAGCGGUGGAAUGCGCAGAUAUCAGGAGGAACACCAGUGGCGAAGGCAGUUCUCUGGCCCUUUCCUGACGCUGAGGAGCGAAAGCGUGGGGAGCGAACAGGCUUAGAUACCCUGGUAGUCCACGCUGUAAACGGUGGGUACUAGGUGUGGGGUCCAUUCCACGGGUUCCGUGCCGUAGCUAACGCUUUAAGUACCCCGCCUGGGGAGUACGGCCGCAAGGCUAAAACUCAAAGGAAUUGACGGGGCCCCGCACAAGCGGCGGAGCGUGCGGAUUAAUUCGAUGCAACGCGUAGAACCUUACCUGGGUUUGACAUGGAUCGGGAGUGCUCAGAGAUGGGUGUGCCUCUUUUGGGGUCGGUUCACAGGUGGUGCAUGGCUGUCGUCAGCUCGUGUCGUGAGAUGUUGGGUUAAGUCCCGCAACGAGCGCAACCCUUGUUCACUGUUGCCAGCACGUUAUGGUGGGGACUCAGUGGAGACCGCCGGGGUCAACUCGGAGGAAGGUGGGGAUGACGUCAAGUCAUCAUGCCCCUUAUGUCCAGGGCUUCACGCAUGCUACAAUGGCUGGUACAGAGAGUGGCGAGCCUGUGAGGGUGAGCGAAUCUCGGAAAGCCGGUCUCAGUUCGGAUUGGGGUCUGCAACUCGACCUCAUGAAGUCGGAGUCGCUAGUAAUCGCAGAUCAGCAACGCUGCGGUGAAUACGUUCCCGGGGCU
Molecule: ribosomal RNA, 1346 nt
Filed under: uncultured bacterium
Lineage: Bacteria
Description: partial 16S ribosomal RNA
Rfam family: Bacterial small subunit ribosomal RNA
Source: RNAcentral